GUCCACGUACAUCCCACCCUGAACGCGCCUGAUCUCGUCUCGUCUCGGAAGCUAAGUUGGGUCGGGCCUGGGAUGGGAGAUUCUGAAUC
Molecule: ribosomal RNA, 89 nt
Organism: Ochotona princeps (American pika)
Lineage: Eukaryota; Metazoa; Chordata; Mammalia; Lagomorpha; Ochotonidae
Source: Ensembl